AAAAUGGGAAACUCAUCCAGAAACUUUUUUUAUCUGGUAAACAACAGGUUUUUCGUCUUAUGUUUGCUGUCUAACUGUUCCAUCUGAACAACAUGAAAGUUAUAUUGUACAUGAGUUCAUGUCUUAGAUAAGAUAUUCAUCAUAAAUUUAUAUUAGACAAAUAAAACAAGAUGGUUUUUAGCUUUGAUGACCAGGAUUGAGGGUUUCCGAAUUCUCAGGUUUUUCGUCCAGUGGUUUUCGUUCCAAAUUUGUUAGAUGAGUCUCCCGUCUUAGAAAGAAAUUCCAUUUUCUAAUAAAAUUCCAUUUUCUAAUAAAAUUCAGCUGUUAUGUCAAAAGUUAUCAUGAAAAUGUUAAUAUACAUGUAAUGCCAUUGAUGACUGACUAAUACCAGAUGAUUUUACCUG
Molecule: non-coding RNA, 404 nt
Organism: Paramuricea clavata
Lineage: Eukaryota; Metazoa; Cnidaria; Anthozoa; Malacalcyonacea; Plexauridae
Source: the annotation of a GenBank genome assembly